Piliocolobus tephrosceles (Ugandan red Colobus) is the source of this 1580-nucleotide long non-coding RNA. NCBI's taxonomy places the organism in Eukaryota, Metazoa, Chordata, Mammalia, Primates, Cercopithecidae. The record is from Ensembl.
UUCUAAUUUUUUAUUUAAAUUUGGAAACUGUAAAAAGUAAUUAAUAUAUAAAUUAUUCUCGUCUAUAUUAGGAGGUGGUUUAAUAUAUACUAACUCAUUAAUACAUGUUUUUUUAAAUUCAUUAAUAUUUGGAUUCGAAUAUUUUGGACCUUCUCCAAAAAAUUGACCAGCUGAUUCUAAUAAUGAAUAUACAUUAGAUACUUUUUUAUAUUCUUUUGCUUUGUUUUUUUUUUUCAUCUCUUCUAAUGCUUUUUUUUUUUUUUUUUUUUUUUUUUUAGUGCCUCUUUUGUUUUACUUUUAUUUUUUAAUUUCACAUUUAUUUUACCAUUAUCCUCUUCUUCGUCGUAUUCUUCUUUUAUUUCAUCUUCUGAUUCGUCAGCGUAUUCUUCUUCUUCCCCUGAUUCAUCCUCGUCAUCAUAUUUUACUUCUUCUUCUACUUCACUUUCAUCACUUUUGUUUUUUUUAGCAGAUUUUUUAGUACCCACACUAUUUUUCUUUUUUUUCUUUUUAACUAUAUUACUACUACUAUUCUUUUUUACUAUAAAAUCACUUUUUGAAAAAACCGCUUUUUUCUCGUUAUUUUCUAUCAAUUCAUUUGUAUUUUCUACUUCCGAACCAUUUUCUUUAUUUUUUUUUUCACUAUCGUCGUCAUCGCUUACUACCUUUUUCAAUUUUUUUAAUUUUCUCAUCUUUUUAUUUUUUUUUUAUAUUGGUGUCAUUAUCAUUUUUAUUGCCUUCGUUUUCAUCUCCGAAAACUUCUUUAUUAGUAAGAUCUGUCUCUGUUUCUAUAUCUUCAUUAUAGUUAUUAUUUUUUUUUUCUUCUACAUUAUCAUCAUCUGUUAACGUGAUGUCAUUUUCAGUGUUAUUUUUUUGCUUCCUUUAGUCCAUUGGCUUCGUCUUCUGCUCCGGACUCGAGUCCGGUUUCUUCAUUAAUUACUUCAUUCGUUACUUCAUUAGUUACUUCAUUCGUUACUUCAUUANNNNNNNNNNUUACUUCAUUCGUUACUUCAUUAGUUACUUCAUUCGUUACUUCAUUAGUUUUUUCAUUUGUACUGUCGUCUUCAUCAUCUGAUAACAACUUUUUUUUUUUUUUUUUUUUAUUCAAACUAUUCAUUUUUGUAAUUUAUUUUAUAAAACACUAAAACAAACACUUACAAUGUCUUUUUUUGUAGAUAACACAUGACAUAUGUAGUAUAUAUAUAUAUGCGUAUGUGUGCAUGUCCAUACGUUAUAUAUGCGUAAAAUGUCUAUAUCAUAUACGUAUGUAUUUUAUCUUAAAAAAAAAAAAAAAAAAAAAACCAAAAAAACCAAAAAAACCAAAAAAACGCAAAAAAACGUAAAAAAAAGCAAAAAAAAGUAAAAAAAGAAAGAAAACGAAAACAAAAUACAAAUUUAUCACAUUUGUUAGUAUUUAUUUAUAAUUAUUGUAUUAGUUCCUUUUUAUAUAUUGUUGCAUUUUUUUUUUUUUUUUUUUUAGCUAUUUUGAUUUUACUUUACUAUUAUAAAUAGCAAUAAUUAAAAAUAUCUGUCUCAUCAAAAAAAAAAAUAAAAAAAUAAAUAAAUAAAAAUAAAAUUAUAUA